RNAcentral lists this non-coding RNA (202 nucleotides) under Coprobacillus sp. Its description in RNAcentral is "T-box sequence". It matches the Rfam family "T-box leader". From Rfam's summary of the family: Uncharged tRNA acts as the effector for transcription antitermination of genes in the T-box leader family. T-boxes are found upstream of many aminoacyl-tRNA synthetase genes and some amino acid biosynthetic genes usually in Gram-positive bacteria. The anticodon of a specific tRNA base pairs to a specifier sequence within the T-box motif, and the NCCA acceptor tail of the tRNA base pairs to a conserved bulge in the T-box antiterminator hairpin. The record is from RNAcentral. Lineage: Bacteria; Bacillati; Bacillota; Erysipelotrichia; Erysipelotrichales; Coprobacillaceae.
GCUCGUACGAUGAAAAGAAGUAGUAACAAGUCUCUUUCUAUUUAGGGAGGAACAAGAGAGUGAAACUGUUCUAUAGAAAUGCUUGCGAAUUCACCUUGGAGUAUAGACGAAAUGUCCGCUGGUUGCGUUAUCACCAAUUAAGUGCAUCUUCAUAACCAUGAUGAUGAAUAAGGAUGGCACCACGGCAUAAGUCGUUCCUUGG